GUUCCUGUAGUUAAAAGUUGAUAACGACGAUUUUUCAGGUCGUAGAUCUCGGAUGAAGGCCGAGUGGGAAUU
Molecule: transfer RNA, 72 nt
Filed under: Eopsaltria georgiana
Lineage: Eukaryota; Metazoa; Chordata; Aves; Passeriformes; Petroicidae
Also listed under: 1 other name
Description: tRNA-Glu
Source: RNAcentral